RNAcentral lists this unclassified non-coding RNA (90 nucleotides) under Pseudomonas lini. Lineage: Bacteria; Pseudomonadati; Pseudomonadota; Gammaproteobacteria; Pseudomonadales; Pseudomonadaceae. The record is from RNAcentral.
UGUGGGAGCGGGCUUGCCCGCGAUAGCGAUCGUACAUCCAACCUCUUCGUUGAAUGUUCGGCCGUCAUCGCGGGCAAGCCCGCUCCCACA